AGCAGCCGCGGUAAUUCCAGCUCCAAUAGCGUAUAUUAAAGUUGUUGCAGUUAAAAAGCUCGUAGUUGAAUUUCGGGGUUAGCAGGUCGGUCGUGCUAUCGGUAUGAACUGGUCUCGCUGAUCCCUCCCUCUUGACGAACUGUGAUGCCAUUAAUUUGGUGUCGCAGGGAAUCAGGACUGUUACUUUGAAAAAUUGAGUGUUUAAAGCAGGCUCACGCUUGAAUACAUUAGCAUGGAAUAAUGAAAUAGGACGUUUGAUCCUAUUUUGUUGGUUUCUAGGAUUGACGUAAUGAUUAAUAGGGAUAGUUGGGGCAUUAGUAUUCAAUUGUCAGAGGUGAAAUUCUUGGAUUUAUUGAGGACUAACUACUGCGAAAGCAUUUGCCAAGGAUGUUUUACAUUAAUCAAGAACGAAAGUUAGGGGAUCGAAGACGAUCAGAUACCGUCAUAGUCUUAAACCAUAAACUAUGCCGACUAGGGAUUGGAUGAUGUUAAUUUUUAAUG
Molecule: ribosomal RNA, 501 nt
Filed under: uncultured Glomus
Lineage: Eukaryota; Fungi; Glomeromycota; Glomeromycetes; Glomerales; Glomeraceae
Description: SSU rRNA
Rfam family: Eukaryotic small subunit ribosomal RNA
Source: RNAcentral